CAAUAGCCAAAAUGAUUGCAGUUUCAAUUUGUGUAACUUCUAAUUAAUUAUCUACUCUCCUCAGCUUUACUUGCUGCUCUUUGCUUUCUCUUUCUUGAUCAGUUUCAGAAAUCAUGCAAUGAAAGGAACAAGAAACACAAUCGAUUAUUGCAAAAAAAAAUUGAAUCUCAGAAUUUUCUCUAUUCAUCAAGCUUCUGGUAAUGAAACUGAACAAUUGCAUUAUUUUCUAAAUGAUUCAUUAUGGUUAUUAUUCUGAAAUAGUUUCUUGAAUUUAAUCGACUAGAUUUCUGUACAUUUUUCAAAAUUUCUGC
This 311-nucleotide long non-coding RNA is filed under the name Olea europaea (common olive). RNAcentral describes it as "long non-coding RNA (OEUR_LNC010760)". The record is from RNAcentral. Lineage: Eukaryota; Viridiplantae; Streptophyta; Magnoliopsida; Lamiales; Oleaceae.